Molecule: ribosomal RNA, 422 nt
Filed under: uncultured bacterium
Lineage: Bacteria
Description: bacterial SSU rRNA
Rfam family: Bacterial small subunit ribosomal RNA
Source: RNAcentral
UUUUGGACAAUGGGCGCAAGCCUGAUCCAGCCAUGCCGCGUGAGUGAAGAAGGCCUUCGGGUUGUAAAGCUCUUUCGGCCGGAACGAAAUCGCACGGGUUAAUAGCCUGUGUGGAUGACGGUACCGGAAGAAGAAGCACCGGCUAACUACGUGCCAGCAGCCGCGGUAAUACGUAGGGUGCGAGCGUUAAUCGGAAUUACUGGGCGUAAAGCGUGCGCAGGCGGUUUGUUAAGCCAGAUGUGAAAGCCCCGGGCUCAACCUGGGAACUGCGUUUGGUACUGGCAAGCUAGAGUGCGGUAGAGGGGGGUGGAAUUCCACGUGUAGCAGUGAAAUGCAUAGAGAUGUGGAGGAACACCGAUGGCGAAGGCAGCCCCCUGGGCCGACACUGACGCUCAGGCACGAAAGCGUGGGGAGCAAACAGG